This 74-nucleotide transfer RNA is filed under the name Aureispira sp. Its description in RNAcentral is "tRNA-Gly". It matches the Rfam family "tRNA". Rfam says of the family: Transfer RNA (tRNA) molecules are approximately 80 nucleotides in length. The record is from RNAcentral. Lineage: Bacteria; Pseudomonadati; Bacteroidota; Saprospiria; Saprospirales; Saprospiraceae. RNAcentral also lists the same sequence under 1 other name.
GCAAGAGUGGCCCAAAUAGGUAAGGCGUCUGGUUGCCGAUCAGAAGAUUAUGGGUUCGAAACCCAUCUCUUGCU